RNAcentral lists this ribosomal RNA (614 nucleotides) under uncultured bacterium. RNAcentral describes it as "bacterial SSU rRNA". It matches the Rfam family "Bacterial small subunit ribosomal RNA", at positions 556 to 1167 of the family's 1533-position model. The record is from RNAcentral.
GGGCGUAAAGGGUGCGUAGGCUGACUUUUAAGUCAGGCGUGAAAUCCAAUGGCUUAACCAUUGAACUGCGCUUGAAACUGGGAGUCUAGAGUUCAGAAGGGGCAGAUGGAAUUAGUGGUGUAGGGGUAAAAUCCGUAGAUAUCACUAGGAAUAUCAAAAGCGAAGGCGAUCUGCUGGGAUGAUACUGACGCUGAGGCACGAAAGCGUGGGGAGCAAACAGGAUUAGAUACCCUGGUAGUCCACGCCCUAAACGAUGAAUGCUAGUCGUCGGGGAGCUCGUCUCUUCGGUGAUGCACUUAACAGAUUAAGCAUUCCGCCUGGGGAGUACGGUCGCAAGAUUAAAACUCAAAGGAAUAGACGGGGACCCGCACAAGUGGUGGAGCAUGUGGUUUAAUUCGAAGAUACACGAAGAACCUUACCUGGCCUUGACAUGGUAGGAACCCUUAAGAGAUUAGGGGGUGCUAGCUUGCUAGAACCUACACACAGGUGCUGCACGGCUGUCGUCAGCUCGUGUCGUGAGAUGUUGGGUUAAGUCCCGCAACGAGCGCAACCCUCGUCGUUAGUUGCUAACAGUUCGGCUGAGCACUCUAACGAGACUGCCUUCGUAAGGAGGA